Molecule: ribosomal RNA, 440 nt
Filed under: uncultured bacterium
Lineage: Bacteria
Description: partial 16S ribosomal RNA
Rfam family: Bacterial small subunit ribosomal RNA
Source: RNAcentral
CCUACGGGAGGCUGCAGUGGGGGAUAUUGGACAAUGGGGGAAACCCUGAUGCAGCGACGCCGCGUGAGGGAAGAAGUAUCUCGGUACGUAAAGCUCUAUCAGCAGGGAAGAAAAUGACGGUACCUGACUAAGAAGCCCCGGCUAACUACGUGCCAGCAGCCGCGGUAAUCCGUAGGGGGCAAGCGUUAUCCGGCUUUACUGGGUGUAAAGGGAGCGUAGACGGCAGCACACGUCUGGAGUGAAAUCUCGGGGGGUAACCCCGGUACUGCUGUGGAAACAGUGCGGCUGGAGUGCAGGAGGGGUAAGCGGAAUUCCUAGUGUAGCGGUGAAAUGCGUAGAUAUUAGGAGGAACACCGGUGGCGAAGGCGGCUUACUGGACUGUAACUGACGUUGAGGCUCGAAAGCGUGGGGAGCAAACAGGAUUAGAUACCCGUGUAGUC